This 253-nucleotide ribosomal RNA is filed under the name uncultured bacterium. RNAcentral describes it as "partial 16S ribosomal RNA". It matches the Rfam family "Bacterial small subunit ribosomal RNA", at positions 524 to 776 of the family's 1533-position model. The record is from RNAcentral.
UACAUGGGGUGCAAACGUUGCUCGGAAUUAUUGGGCGUAAAGCGCACGUAGGCGGUUCGUUAAGUCAGAUGUGAAAGCCCCCGGCUCAACUGGGGAGGGUCACGCGAUACUGAUCGACUCGAAGGCAGGAGAGGGUAGUGGAAUUCCCGGUGUAGUGGUGAAAUGCGUAGAUAUCGGGAGGAACACCAGUGGCGAAGGCGACUACCUGGCCUGUUCUUGACGCUGAGGCGCGAAAGCUAGGGGAGCAAACGGG